AUUGCUCCUCGGCCUUUUGGCUAAGAUCAUAUGUAGUGUCUGUUCUUAUCAGUUUAAUAAAUGCCACAUAGUCAGACAAGAGAUUCAUCCCAUGAAAUAUGGAAUCACUGAAGUCUCGUGGGAGAUGGCAUUCAAUGGAUAAGCACAGUUGCAACUUGGUUUGUUAUAAUACCUUGCAGGGGCUUCUGAAA
This is a small nuclear RNA of Pteronotus mesoamericanus, 191 nucleotides long. RefSeq annotates it as U2 spliceosomal RNA. The transcript has a single exon. NCBI's taxonomy places the organism in Eukaryota, Metazoa, Chordata, Mammalia, Chiroptera, Mormoopidae. The record is from RefSeq and is a predicted model, not a curated record.